GGGGGGAUAUUGCACAAUGGGCGAAAGCCUGAUGCAGCGACGCCGCGUGGGGGAUGAAGGCCUUCGGGUUGUAAACUUCUUUUGCUCUGAACAAGGCAUGCCUGUGGGGUGUGUUGAGUGUAGGGGUUGAUUAGCGCCGGCUAACUACGUGCCAGCAGCCGCGGUAAUACGUAGGGCGCGAGCGUUGUCCGGAAUUAUUGGGCGUAAAGGGCUUGUAGGUGGCUGGUUGCGUCUGUCGUGAAAGCUCAUGGCUUAACUGUGGGUUUGCGGUGGGUACGGGCUGGCUUGAGUGCAGUAGGGGAGGCUGGAAUUCCUGGUGUAGCGGUGGAAUGCGCAGAUAUCAGGAGGAAUACCGGUGGCGAAGGCGGGUCUCUGGGCUGUUACUGACGCUGAGGAGCGAAAGCGUGGGGAGCGAACAGG
Molecule: ribosomal RNA, 420 nt
Filed under: Fusobacteriota bacterium
Lineage: Bacteria; Fusobacteriati; Fusobacteriota
Description: Fusobacteria bacterium partial 16S ribosomal RNA
Rfam family: Bacterial small subunit ribosomal RNA
Source: RNAcentral